Molecule: non-coding RNA, 28 nt
Filed under: Cricetulus griseus (Chinese hamster)
Lineage: Eukaryota; Metazoa; Chordata; Mammalia; Rodentia; Cricetidae
Source: RNAcentral
CACAGAUGGGCUGAAGUAGAGACUCAAA